CGAGUCGUGCGGCCAGCCGUGCCCACAGCCCCCGCGCCACUUCAGGAAGUCCCAGAGCGUGGCGUUGCCAGGCGUGGGUGUGACGCGGCUGUGGUCUUGCUCUGUCCACACUUCCAGGCCUGUCAGCACCACCUGGAUGUCCAGCGUCCUGAGGAUCUGAGGAGGGGAGGCUUGAGGUCCCUUGGAGGCGGCACCUCUCUCCCUGCCCUGCCGCACCACCUCUCCCCACCUCCCCAACCUGGUCUGCAUAACUGGCAACCUCCAGGAGACGCGCUCUUUGGUAUGGUUCAAGUUCCGGUGCUGGGUCAAGUACUGGGAAGGCAGAAAAACCCCGAGCGGGCGCAGUGAGGGGCUAUGCUGGCCCCGCCCCAGACCCGCUCAACUCCUGGGGCUGCCCUCACCAGGGGGUGGUCGGCUACUACGUAUAGCUCCAGGUACCUCUGGCCCCUGGGGGCUUCUCGCCUCUCCUGUGGAGGGGCAAAUGGUGACCUUCAGUGGCAGGCUGCUGGCCUUGAGUCCUGCCUGACCACCAACCCCAACUCCCAGAAAGAGCACUCUUAAAAGUUGGCCCAGAACUUGUUUCUUCAGCCUCUGAGUUAAAAUACCAGGAUGGGUGGCCCCGGCCUGGAGUGUGCCUACUCCUGUCUCCUCUGAUUUGGGGGAACUACAUAGGCACACUGUGUUCACUCUCCCACGAGAUCUGUGCCCCUGACCCUGCUCUGAGGGGCAGGACGAAGCCUGGCCAUGCCCCCUUUGUCCUCGGGGGUCACUGUAGCUGGCAGGUCCCUUUCCAGGUGAGCAGCCUCUCCAUCCGGAAAGUCCUGUGGGUUGAGAGGUCCUCUGGGUCUCCAGGUGGCCAGGGGCUGCAGGUAAUAGCUGGCAUUGCUGUUGAGCCUGAUCAAGCCCCUAGGUGGAAAGGGGUGAGAGUGGGCUGUCAGGGAGCUCUGGACUCAUCCUGGGCCCAAGCCCCAGCCCCCAGAACUGCUCCACCUCAUCCCAGAGCAGGUGCUGAGCAUAACCGAAGAGUUGGGGAAGCCCCUCACUCUCCGUGGUAGUGACAGUGGUCCUGGAGAGGAAGGAACCUGAGCCCAAACCUCAGCCAGGGCAGAAGCCAAGAGGGAACGGGAGCAGGAAGGGGAGGGGAGGGGUGGCUCCAACUUCCCCUAGGAACGGAGUUGGAGGGUUGGGGUAGGGAUCGUGAGGAGCUAUCCCAGGUGCCAUCCCCAGCACCCUCACCCUGUCCUCAGAGCCCACAGAAGUGUCUCGCCCAUGUGGUUGGGGACCAGCACCACUGGCUGGCCAUCUUGGCUAUAGUGGGUUUCUGUGUAACCAGCAGCCAGCAGCCUGCUGGGAGAGGAUGUUUAGGAAUCACUCCACAUAGCCCAGCCUCCUCCCAGUCUCCCUCCCUGAAUGCUAAUUGAGCAGCUCUAGGAGUGAGGCACCCUCAGAGAGAGAAAGGUGAAGGUCAGGAGGGGAAGGCUCAGGAGAUGCUGCUGAGAAGGUGGGACUUGGAGCCAAAGAAUUGUGGGGAAGCCCGGAAGCCUGCUGUCUACCUCUUGGCUACCCAGGCCUCCCCUUUCAUCUCCUUCCACAUCUUCUCCUCAGGCCUCUAGACCCAACACGGCUCCUGAUGCCCCUCAAUGAUGCUCACUGCCUGCUUCCAGAGGAAACAGCCCACGCCUGCUCCUACCCUGCUCCCUUGAGCACAGACUCCCAUUCCCACCUUCUCCAAGGUUCAUUCCAGUGAUGAUUCUGUCCUCAGGACCCUUCCCCCUGGAUGGAUCAACUGUAAGCUGAUCACUCCUUAAAGAAAAUUCUUGGCUCCAACUUCACCGUGGCCUCUACCUCCAGACUCCCAAAGACCUGUGAUAUCUGCUUUUCCACCUCCCAAUCAUUCCUCCACCUCCUCCAGCCUUGCUCCCCACUGUGUGUGGGAAUGUGCACACAUGCCGUGCAGACACACACACACACACACACACACACACACACACACGCACCAUUCCGUAUGUAGGGACACUGAGUCCCUGGAAACCAUGGUUAAGCAUGGUGGAACUUGUUUGUUCCAGUUGCAUCUGACUCCACAAGGGAGAAUAAAACACACAGUGCUCAGAACAGGGCCUGCCGUGAGACUCAGUAAGUGAUACCAAUGGAUAAUGAGUCUGGAUGGUGGUAAGACCCCAUGCUCCAUGCUGGGCACCCACUCACUCAGCCUGAGCCUUAUGGACCUGCUCAUUCACCAGCUCAAAAUCUGGCUGUGUGUGUCCAGGAUCUGCAGCUCUAAAAUGCCUUCCUUGUGAGCUGUCCCUGCUGGGGCCCCUAAACUCAUUUCCUCCCACUUUCUUCCUUGCAGAUGUUUACUCUCCAGUUAGGCACAUUGGCGCCCUGAAUGUGCUUUGAUUCUUGUUGCUGCUGUAUCUUUGUCCCCUCUGUCCCUUUAGCCUGGAGUGCUGUCCCAUCUGUGGAAACAGCUGAGAUUCAACAUUAGGUGGUGCUCACUGGUCUCCAGCAGGAAGCUGCUGAGCUGCUGCACAGUUGGGUCAUAGAAUGUGCCCACCCUGGGGCUCACCCAGCUUUAACAGUCCACUUCAGCCUCCAGGGGGCCAGCCAUGGGCUGAGGGUGACUACUGUCACCUGAGUCCCUUCUGAGUCCCCUUUUUCUUCAGCCUACCUCAGGGAUCCACAUCAGUUCUUCUUGACUUCAGCCACACCACAGCCUGGUACUUACUGGUUCUUCUCCAGCUCAAGCAGGAACUCCUGGCCUUCAGCUUCCAAGGCCACCAGGCCUGAGUCUAGUGUCGAGAUCUAGGUAAAAAAGAAGUGAGUGCAGGCUGUGAUGGGAGCAGGAGGAUGUGGAGCUGGCUCUUGAGAAAGUUCACAGGCAUGGCAGGCCUGUGAGUCAUGUGGAGUCAUGGAGGGCACAGACAGGCAUGGGAUGAGAACAUCUAAAGAUGUUCCCAAACUUGGACUGUUUGUUGCUGUGACAACAGUCACAUAAAGUGCAUAAACAUAGAGUGUCAGGGGUGUGCCAUGUCCUCCCUAGAGACAAGGAGGCCCAGAAAGGCACCCAGCUUUUCCCAGAGUUACUGGGCCUUCCCCUUGGCCUGCCCUCUUCUUUUGUGCGCAGAAAAGGCAUGAGCAGGUGAGGAAGACAGUGGAGUCCAAAGGGCAUCAUUAUGAGGGACGUCGUGUAGCUCAGGCCUCCUUAUAGCCUCUGUGCUAUGAGAGAACUUGUUUCUGUAUCUUUUUUUUUUUUUUUUGAGGUGCUGGGGACGGCACCUAGGGCCACACAUAUGCUGGGCAAGUGCUCUACCACUGAGCUACAGCCCCACCCCUGUGUCUGUCUCUUGCUGGCACUCAUUCCCUCUAGAAUGCAGACUUUAUUCGUCCACCUCUGAUUCUAGCAAACUGCCCUCUCCUCCAGUUUUUCAUGGCUCCAGCAAGCCUG
Heterocephalus glaber (naked mole-rat) is the source of this 3445-nucleotide long non-coding RNA. NCBI's taxonomy places the organism in Eukaryota, Metazoa, Chordata, Mammalia, Rodentia, Bathyergidae. The record is from Ensembl.